RNAcentral lists this ribosomal RNA (201 nucleotides) under uncultured bacterium. Its description in RNAcentral is "partial 16S ribosomal RNA". It matches the Rfam family "Bacterial small subunit ribosomal RNA", at positions 524 to 721 of the family's 1533-position model. The record is from RNAcentral.
UACGGAGGGUGCGAGCGUUGUCCGGAAUCAUUGGGCGUAAAGGGCGCGUAGGUGGCGGGACAAGCGUGCGGUGAAAGCUCGACGCUCAACGUCGAGUCGGCCGUCGAGACUGCUUUGCUCGAGCACUGUAGAGGCAGAUGGAAUUCCGGGUGUAGGCGGUGGAAUGGCGUAGAGGAUCCGGAAGAACACCGGUGGCGAAGG